RNAcentral lists this ribosomal RNA (253 nucleotides) under uncultured bacterium. RNAcentral describes it as "partial 16S ribosomal RNA". It matches the Rfam family "Bacterial small subunit ribosomal RNA", at positions 524 to 776 of the family's 1533-position model. The record is from RNAcentral.
UACGGAGGGAGCUAGCGUUGUUCGGAAUUACUGGGCGUAAAGCGCACGUAGGCGGCUUUCUAAGUCAGGGGUGAAAUCCCGGGGCUCAACCCCGGAACUGCCCUUGAAACUGGAUGGCUAGAAUCCUGGAGAGGCGAGUGGAAUUCCGAGUGUAGAGGUGAAAUUCGUAGAUAUUCGGAAGAACACCAGUGGCGAAGGCGACUCGCUGGACAGGUAUUGACGCUGAGGCACGAAAGCGUGGGGAGCAAACAGG